Molecule: ribosomal RNA, 1410 nt
Filed under: uncultured Bacilli bacterium
Lineage: Bacteria; Bacillati; Bacillota; Bacilli
Description: bacterial SSU rRNA
Rfam family: Bacterial small subunit ribosomal RNA
Source: RNAcentral
GAUGAACGCUGGCGGCGUGCCUAAUACAUGCAAGUCGAACGCUUUGUGGUUCAACUGAUUUGAAGAGCUUGCUCAGAUAUGACGAUGGACAUUGCAAAGAGUGGCGAACGGGUGAGUAACACGUGGGAAACCUACCUCUUAGCAGGGGAUAACAUUUGGAAACAGAUGCUAAUACCGUAUAACAAUGACAACCGCAUGGUUGUUAUUUCAAAGAUGGUUCUGCUAUCACUAAGAGAUGGUCCCGCGGUGCAUUAGCUAGUUGGUAAGGUAAUGGCUUACCAAGGCGAUGAUGCAUAGCCGAGUUGAGAGACUGAUCGGCCACAAUGGGACUGAGACACGGCCCAUACUCCUACGGGAGGCAGCAGUAGGGAAUCUUCCACAAUGGGCGAAAGCCUGAUGGAGCAACGCCGCGUGUGUGAUGAAGGGUUUCGGCUCGUAAAACACUGUUGUAAGAGAAGAAUGACAUUGAGAGUAACUGUUCAAUGUGUGACGGUAUCUUACCAGAAAGGAACGGCUAAAUACGUGCCAGCAGCCGCGGUAAUACGUAUGUUCCAAGCGUUAUCCGGAUUUAUUGGGCGUAAAGCGAGCGCAGACGGUUAUUUAAGUCUGAAGUGAAAGCCCUCAGCUCAACUGAGGAAUUGCUUUGGAAACUGGAUGACUUGAGUGCAGUAGAGGAAAGUGGAACUCCAUGUGUAGCGGUGAAAUGCGUAGAUAUAUGGAAGAACACCAGUGGCGAAGGGCGGCUUUCUGGACUGUAACUGACGUUGAGGCUCGAAAGUGUGGGUAGCAAACAGGAUUAGAUACCCUGGUAGUCCACACCGUAAACGAUGAGUGCUAGGUGUUUGAGGGUUUCCGCCCUUAAGUGCCGCAGCUAACGCAUUAAGCACUCCGCCUGGGGAGUACGACCGCAAGGUUGAAACUCAAAGGAAUUGACGGGGACCCGCACAAGCGGUGGAGCAUGUGGUUUAAUUCGAAGCAACGCGAAGAACCUUACCAGGUCUUGACAUCCCUUGACAACUCCAGAGAUGGAGCGUUCCCUUCGGGGACAAGGUGACAGGUGGUGCAUGGUUGUCGUCAGCUCGUGUCGUGAGAUGUUGGGUUAAGUCCCGCAACGAGCGCAACCCUUAUUACUAGUUGCCAGCAUUCAGUUGGGCACUCUAGUGAGACUGCCGGUGACAAACCGGAGGAAGGUGGGGAUGACGUCAAAUCAUCAUGCCCCUUAUGACCUGGGCUACACACGUGCUACAAUGGCGUAUACAACGAGUUGCCAACCCGCGAGGGUGAGCUAAUCUCUUAAAGUACGUCUCAGUUCGGAUUGUAGGCUGCAACUCGCCUACAUGAAGUCGGAAUCGCUAGUAAUCGCGGAUCAGCACGCCGCGGUGAAUACGUUCCCGGGUCUUGUACACACCG